This is a long non-coding RNA of Ochotona curzoniae (black-lipped pika), 116 nucleotides long. RefSeq lists it as uncharacterized. Lineage: Eukaryota; Metazoa; Chordata; Mammalia; Lagomorpha; Ochotonidae. The transcript has 3 exons. The record is from RefSeq and is a predicted model, not a curated record.
AUUUACUUUCUUACUCAUUAAAAGUUUGAGAAUAGGUUGAGAUCGUUUCGGCCCCAAGACCUCUAAUCAUUUGCUUUACCGGAUAAAACUGCGGGCCGGGGGCGCCUCGGGUCUGG